CAGUAGCCGCGGUAAUACGUAGGGUGCGAGCGUUAAUCGGAAUUACUGGGCGUAAAGCGUGCGCAGGCGGUUUUGUAAGACAGGCGUGAAAUCCCCGGGCUCAACCUGGGAAUGGCGCUUGUGACUGCAAAGCUAGAGUGCGGCAGAGGGGGAUGGAAUUCCGCGUGUAGCAGUGAAAUGCGUAGAUAUGCGGAGGAACACCGAUGGCGAAGGCAAUCCCCUGGGCCUGUACUGACGCUCAUGCACGAAAGCGUGGGGAGCAAACAGGAUUAGAUACCCGCGUAGUCCCUGUCUCUUAUAA
Molecule: ribosomal RNA, 301 nt
Filed under: uncultured bacterium
Lineage: Bacteria
Description: partial 16S ribosomal RNA
Rfam family: Bacterial small subunit ribosomal RNA
Source: RNAcentral